CAGUAGCCGCGGUAAUACGUAGGUGGCAAGCGCUGUCCGGAAUUAUUGGGCGUAAAGGGCUCGCAGGCGGUUUCUUAAGUCUGUUGUGAAAGCCCCCGGCUCAACCGGGGAGGGUUAUUGGAAACUGGGAAACUUGAGUGCAGAAGAGGAGAGUGGAAUUCCACGUGUAGCGAUGAAAUGCGUAGAGAUGUGGAGGAACACCAGUGGCGAAGGCGACUCUCUGGUCUGUAACUGACGCUGAGGAGCGAAAGCGUGGGGAGCGAACAGGAUUAGAUACCCGGGUAGUCCCUGUCUCUUAUAA
Molecule: ribosomal RNA, 301 nt
Filed under: uncultured bacterium
Lineage: Bacteria
Description: partial 16S ribosomal RNA
Rfam family: Bacterial small subunit ribosomal RNA
Source: RNAcentral